This is a long non-coding RNA of Polypterus senegalus (gray bichir), 288 nucleotides long. RefSeq lists it as uncharacterized. The record is from RefSeq and is a predicted model, not a curated record. Lineage: Eukaryota; Metazoa; Chordata; Cladistia; Polypteriformes; Polypteridae. The transcript has 2 exons.
AAUGGCUGGCAGCAACAGACCGGCUCACUGGAAACAGGCUGGAGGUUUUAAAUUAGAAAACUGCACUGUAAAGAAUUGUAUUUGACCAAGUGAGUGACGGCCCUUCCAUCACUGAUGUCAUCUCCGCUGUCCUGCUAGACCCGCCCCUUCCUGCUAUCUGUCUUCAUAACCUGGAAAACCAACUGCCUGCUUAAGUUCUAUUUUGGACCUGUGUCUGCAAAGACAUUACUGUAAUUAAUUGAGUAAUUUAUGUUCCUGAAACCUUUCAUAUUAUACAGAGUCACCAAG